GAUGAACGCUGGCGGCGUGCCUAAUACAUGCAAGUCGAGCGAACAGAUGAGGAGCUUGCUCCUCUGACGUUAGCGGCGGACGGGUGAGUAACACGUGGAUAACCUACCUAUAAGACUGGGAUAACUUCGGGAAACCGGAGCUAAUACCGGAUAAUAUAUUGAACCGCAUGGUUCAAUAGUGAAAGACGGUUUUGCUGUCACUUAUAGAUGGAUCCGCGCCGCAUUAGCUAGUUGGUAAGGUAACGGCUUACCAAGGCAACGAUGCGUAGCCGACCUGAGAGGGUGAUCGGCAACACUGGAACUGAGACACGGUCCAGACUCCUACGGGAGGCAGAAGUAGGGAAUCUUCCGCAAUGGGCGAAAGCCUGACGGAGCAACGCCGCGUGAGUGAUGAAGGUCUUCGGAUCGUAAAACUCUGUUAUUAGGGAAGAACAAAUGUGUAAGUAACUAUGCACGUCUUGACGGUACCUAAUCAGAAAGCCACGGCUAACUACGUG
Molecule: ribosomal RNA, 497 nt
Filed under: uncultured bacterium
Lineage: Bacteria
Description: partial 16S ribosomal RNA
Rfam family: Bacterial small subunit ribosomal RNA
Source: RNAcentral